Molecule: small nuclear RNA, 108 nt
Filed under: Neogale vison (American mink)
Lineage: Eukaryota; Metazoa; Chordata; Mammalia; Carnivora; Mustelidae
Source: RNAcentral
GUGCUCUAUUUGGCCGCACAAUAUACUAAAAUUGGAAUGAUAUGAAGAAGAUUAGCAUUGCCCCUACACAACAAUGACACACAAAUUAAUGAAGUAUUCCAUAUUUAA